Long non-coding RNA from Ictalurus furcatus (blue catfish), 844 nucleotides. RefSeq lists it as uncharacterized. Lineage: Eukaryota; Metazoa; Chordata; Actinopteri; Siluriformes; Ictaluridae. The transcript has 6 exons. The record is from RefSeq and is a predicted model, not a curated record.
UCGGCCGUCGGCUGGACACAGCGGAUCAACUGAUCUGUUGCAGGGUUGGCAGUCGGCCGUGUUAGCCACCACGAAGAGAUGAUUCUUCUGUGCCAUGCAGCUCAAACGAUGCAGGACCUGAGAAAAGAUAUGAGUUUAAAAUAAAAUGGAAUCCAAAACAAAUUGUCCCAACACGUCACUAUAAGGAUCUGCACAUGGGCUCCACGUCACUGCUCCAGGAUCCGGCACCGUCUCCAGAUACGCAGCUAUAGACACUCUGCUGUAGUUGAAUCCGUGGAUGGCGUCCUCUGGAAACACCAGGAUCUGGGCUCCCUGUUAAACAGAUUAAGCUUCAGUGAGUUCACUGCUCAGGUCACAGGGAACCUGGAUCCUAUCCCAGGGAACCCCAUUGCAGGGCACAAUGUGCACCUGUUCACACACUACGGACAAUUUAGAGAUGCCAAUCAGCCUACAACGCAUGUUUUUGGACUGAGGGAGGAAACCGAGUAACCUGGAGGAAACCCCCGAAGCACGGGGAGAACAUGAAAACUCUGCACACACAGGGCGGAGGUGAUGAAGCACCGCUGCAUUCACUGCGAGGUCCCAGAACAGGCGAGACACGGCCAAAGCCCUCCAGGGAGCCCGGGCUGGGCAGCUCCACACCUCUGGUGCAGGGAGAGAAUGAGGGAAGAGAGGAGGGGAAAGGACAGGAGGACAAGAGCAGAGGGUACGAAGCACACUCACUGGAUAUGCCGUCUGACUCCAUUUUGAAGUUGCUGAUGUCUUCACCAUCACCUACGUCUUUCUCAGCCCCAACUCCGCAGCAGCGGGGCCCAAUGGCUGCGAGACGUCUGCGAGCGUGGAU